UACGAGGGGGGCGAGCGUUGUUCGGAAUUAUUGGGCGUAAAGAGCGUGUAGGCGGCCAGGUAGGUCUGCUGUGAAAACUCGAGGCUCAACCUCGAGACGUCGGCGGAAACCAUCUGGCUAGAGUCCGGAAGAGGAGAGUGGAAUUCCUGGUGUAGCGGUGAAAUGCGCAGAUAUCAGGAAGAACACCCGUGGCGAAGGCGGCUCUCUGGGACGGUACUGACGCUGAGACGCGAAAGCGUGGGGAGCGAACAGG
Molecule: ribosomal RNA, 253 nt
Filed under: uncultured bacterium
Lineage: Bacteria
Description: partial 16S ribosomal RNA
Rfam family: Bacterial small subunit ribosomal RNA
Source: RNAcentral